CCUCUGUAACCAUAUUCUGCACUGUAUAUAUGAACCCAAAGAAGCUUCUCUCCAAAUCUCUUUCGGCUUUCAUAUUUUUUUACUCUUUGUAAGCCUCUCUACAGUCAUGAUGAAUUCUCAACUGUUUCUGUCUGAGCUCCACAGGAAUUGAGUUUACUUAGCUGAGAAAAAGAGGAAUCGAGUUUCUUAAGUUUGAUGGAAAGCUGGCUCCGAAGGCGAGUCUUACAGGAGUUCAAUGAAACCAAACAGAAAACAGUUCUGCUUACAUCUCUGAAAGCUGGAGGAGUCGGUCUGGAUCUGACCGCAGCUUCAAACGUCGUCUUCAAGCUUGCGGUUAAAUUCUAAUCCAUUAUGAAGAAAUGGCGAUGCUUAAAAACCGAAAAUAGGUUCGCUUAACAAGGAAAGAGAAACAUGGUUGAUGACCUGAUUCUAGACAGCUUAUCAAUACUGUUGUUCUUUUUAUUUGUUGGUAAUUGUUUCGUACUUCACUGAGACAUGUUUUCUGUUCCAGCUAGAGCAUUUGGAGAAAGAAACAUUGAAAUGGUGCAGAGAAAUCACAUGGAACAGUUCUACUGCAAUUUGUGUGCUGAAUACAGGAUUGCACUCAGUGAUGGGAAUGGCAGACUUCAAGGGCUAGGACGCCAAGAAUGAGACAGUCUUAUACUAUGGAACCGAAGAAGCUACUGAAGAAUGUCUUACUUCAGGGGCUUGGAGACGAUGCCACACUCUUAUUCUAUGUUAAGGUGUCUUGCUGCUUUUCCAUUGGGAGCAGUCCCUGUCACUGCAGAAGAAGAGCCACCACCAGAUCUUUCCUGUUGUGGCUCUGAUGGUGCUGCCAAAAAUCUGUCUGUCUGUGUGUAAGUAUCUGCUGCUGAGACUGGAACUUCUUGAAAUUUAAGCAAUUGUAAGACGUCAGUAAUGAUGCUGCAGGCUCUUUCCAUUGGGAUGAUGUUUCAGUAACAGAAUCAGGUUGAGAAUGAGAUGAGUCAUCAUUUAACUCCGACCAGUUUGCUGCUGAUCUGUGUAAGAUGAUGGGAAAACACUAAGGGGUCUCCAUCCAUCGUUGUUGCUGCAGUAGGAGGCCAAGUACUAGAAAGAAAGUUGCGGUCUAUGGAUGGACUGUCAUAAAACAGCGCCGGACCAUUCAUUGAUGGGGUCCUCAGCAAGUCUUUUCGGGGUCCUCGACAUGAGCUGAACAGCUUCCAUCUCCUGUCUUUGAGUCACUUGCCUGAUGUUUUUUUUUCUGGUGAACAAUGGGAGCUGCAGAUACGAACUGGUAGCCUUUGGAAGAGAAAUUCAAAUUCGCAGGGACAGUACCAUUGGAAAAGAGGUAAACUACAUGGAAACGUUUUGUGGCUGCAUAGGAGUAGUCAUGAUCUGGCCAUGUAGCCCUCCUUUAUGAGUGUGCUACUCCUUGAAACUGGAUUAUCUCCUUCAGUUUUGGCUUUAGACUUUUGAGAUUGUUGAUCGUGUACCUGAAUAUUAGCUUGGCUUGAGAUGCUUUUCACAUUAACUUGCCGUUGCAGUUGCAUAUGCGGUUGGGGAGCAACUUGAUGAUGCAUUUGUCUCUCUUAAACAUUAUUCAUGCAAACUCUAUAAAACUUUGAUUUUUUUUUUAGUUA
Molecule: long non-coding RNA, 1622 nt
Organism: Brassica oleracea var. oleracea
Lineage: Eukaryota; Viridiplantae; Streptophyta; Magnoliopsida; Brassicales; Brassicaceae
Exons: 4
Source: RefSeq, a predicted model, not a curated record